Molecule: ribosomal RNA, 478 nt
Filed under: uncultured bacterium
Lineage: Bacteria
Description: partial 16S ribosomal RNA
Rfam family: Bacterial small subunit ribosomal RNA
Source: RNAcentral
GACGAACGCUGGCGGCAUGCCUAACACAUGCAAGUCGAGCGAGCAGAUCCCUUCGGGGUGAAGCUAGCGGCGGACGGGUGAGUAACACGUGGGCAACCUGCCUCAUGGAGGGGAAUAGCCUUCCGAAAGGAAGAUUAAUACCGCAUAAGAUUGUAGCUUCGCAUGAAGUAGCAAUUAAAGGAGCAAUCCGCUAUGAGAUGGGCCCGCGGCGCAUUAGCUAGUUGGUGAGGUAACGGCUCACCAAGGCGACGAUGCGUAGCCGACCUGAGAGGGUGAUCGGCCAGAUUUGGACGGAGGCACGGCCCAGACUCCUACGGGAGGCAGCAGUGGGGAAUAUUGCACAAUGGGGGAAACCCUGAUGCAGCAAUGCCGCGUGAGUGAUGACGGCCUUCGGGUUGUAAAGCUCUGUCUUCGGGGACGAUAAUGACGGUACCCGAGGAGGAAGCCACGGCUAACUACGUGCCAGCAGCAGCCGUAA